CUACGGGGGGCAGCAGUGAGGAAUUUUGCGCAAUGGGGGCAACCCUGACGCAGCAACGCCGCGUGAGUGAAGAAGGCCUUUGGGUCGUAAAGCUCUGUCGACAGGGAAGAAGUUAUAGAUAUCCAAUAGGUAUUUAUAUUGACGGUACCUGUAGAGGAAGCACCGGCUAACUCCGUGCCAGCAGCCGCGGUAAUACGGGGGGUGCAAGCGUUAUUCGGAAUUAUUGGGCGUAAAGGGCGCGUAGGCGGUCUUGUCGGUCAGAUGUGAAAGCCCGGGGCUCAACCCUGGACGUGCAUUUGAAACAGCAAGACUGGAGUACGGGAGAGGAAAGCGGAAUUCCUGGUGUAGAGGUGAAAUUCGUAGAUAUCAGGAGGAACACCGAUGGCGAAGGCAGCUUUCUGGACCGAUACUGACGCUGAGGCGCGAAGGCGUGGGUAGCGAACGGGAUUAGAUACCCUCGUAGUC
This 465-nucleotide ribosomal RNA is filed under the name uncultured bacterium. RNAcentral describes it as "partial 16S ribosomal RNA". It matches the Rfam family "Bacterial small subunit ribosomal RNA", at positions 339 to 795 of the family's 1533-position model. The record is from RNAcentral.